This 240-nucleotide ribosomal RNA is filed under the name uncultured bacterium. Its description in RNAcentral is "partial 16S ribosomal RNA". It matches the Rfam family "Bacterial small subunit ribosomal RNA", at positions 94 to 334 of the family's 1533-position model. The record is from RNAcentral.
CCGGGCGCACGGGUGAGUAACACGUACCCAACCUGCCGUCUACCCUUGGACAGCCUUCUGAAAGGAAGAUUAAUACAAGAUGGCAUCAUGAGUCCGCAUGUUCACAUGAUUAAAGGUAUUCCGGUAGACGAUGGGGAUGCGUUCCAUUAGAUAGUAGGCGGGGUAACGGCCCACCUAGUCUUCGAUGGAUAGGGGUUCUGAGAGGAAGGUCCCCCACAUUGGAACUGAGACACGGUCCAA